RNAcentral lists this ribosomal RNA (253 nucleotides) under uncultured bacterium. RNAcentral describes it as "partial 16S ribosomal RNA". It matches the Rfam family "Bacterial small subunit ribosomal RNA", at positions 524 to 776 of the family's 1533-position model. The record is from RNAcentral.
GACGAACCGUGCAACCGUUAUUCGGAAUCACUGGGCAUAAAGGGCGCGUAGGCGGCUUCAUAAGUCAGGGGUGAAAUCCGGCAGCUUAACUGUCGCAGUGCCUUUGAUACUGUGGAGCUCGAGGGAGGUAGGGGUCUGUGGAACUUCCGGUGGAGCGGUGAAAUGCGUUGAUAUCGGAAGGAACGCCGGUGGCGAAAGCGACGGACUGGAUCUCUUCUGACGCUGAGGCGCGAAAGCCAGGGGAGCAAACGGG